RNAcentral lists this long non-coding RNA (1005 nucleotides) under Oreochromis niloticus (Nile tilapia). Its description in RNAcentral is "lncRNA (ENSONIG00000029988.1)". The record is from RNAcentral. Lineage: Eukaryota; Metazoa; Chordata; Actinopteri; Cichliformes; Cichlidae.
AGCGUCCUCCAAAAAUUGCAAAUGCCUCCGGCUAGCCAAUGAGGGGAGCUCGGACCGUACCAAAGUGGGAACCGGUUUAGGGGUGCUCCUUAAAGCUUUCUCAAAGAAACUUGGCAAUAUUAAAGGAACUCGGAAUUUCACAACAUGGAAGGGACAACUGUUUAAACCCAUUAUUACAGUACUAUUGAAGAGACUGUAAAGCUUUAAAUGUGCCCUUUUACAAAAGCCCAAACGUAACCGUGUGUUCAGAGUUAAUUAAUGGAUUCGUCCGCGCCAACAUUGAAAGUUUCGUGAAAGUGAACUCCAAUGCCGUUAGCUUGCUAUUGGUUUACUUGUGUUUAGAUGCUUCGACACAGCUGUUUGAACGUCGAACUUUAUUUGCUUUACUCAGAGUUGGUUUUACAGGACUACAGGGCGCUCCUACUGAGUUGCCGGCCGGCUUUUUGGAUCUGAUCACAACUGGACAGGCGGGCUGGGGCUAAACAGGAUUGUAAAGAGGAUCAGAGAGGCUGUGGUGUUGUCUGUGUAACUGACGACUGAGCUACUAAACUUGCCUUUUGGAUUUAAAAAAGAGAAAAAAGGAAAAGACUGACCCUGACCCGCAGUCUCACCCUUUUCUGGAUCACCGCUGAGUUAAUAGAGGUGGUCUGGACAAGGCUGGUGUGGAGAAUCUGACCCCAACUGACCCUGUCUCGCAAGUAGCCUUUCACUGAGCCCGGACUGGCAAAAGGGACAAAUAAAAGUGCAAGAGAGGUGUCGUGGAGGACAGACGAAAGGCAGAGGAGCAGCACAGCGACCGGUAAGGAAGUUAAAGGGGGUUCUGAGAGCACGGGUGUGAGAGGGGGAGGAGUGGGGAGAAAAGAGUACAAAAGAGCCCCUUUUUUUUUUUUCCCUUAAGCUUAGAGAGGAUGUGUGGGAGCUGUUCACUGACCAUUAAAGCCAGGUGCUCGCCUACCUCUCCUCCUGUCAGCUAGUGUCUGACCAUGAAGCUGUAAAACUGUUUUC